RNAcentral lists this ribosomal RNA (334 nucleotides) under Staphylococcus aureus. RNAcentral's name for it is "partial 23S ribosomal RNA". It matches the Rfam family "Bacterial large subunit ribosomal RNA", at positions 1231 to 1561 of the family's 2925-position model. Lineage: Bacteria; Bacillati; Bacillota; Bacilli; Caryophanales; Staphylococcaceae. The record is from RNAcentral.
GGAGAGCGUUCUAAGGGCGUUGAAGCAUGAUCGUAAGGACAUGUGGAGCGCUUAGAAGUGAGAAUGCCGGUGUGAGUAGCGAAAGACGGGUGAGAAUCCCGUCCACCGAUUGACUAAGGUUUCCAGAGGAAGGCUCGUCCGCUCUGGGUUAGUCGGGUCCUAAGCUGAGGCCGACAGGCGUAGGCGAUGGAUAACAGGUUGAUAUUCCUGUACCACCUAUAAUCGUUUUAAUCGAUGGGGGGACGCAGUAGGAUAGGCGAAGCGUGCGAUUGGAUUGCACGUCUAAGCAGUAAGGCUGAGUAUUAGGCAAAUCCGGUACUCGUUAAGGCUGAGC